UGGGACUCUGAGUUUUUCAUCUGGGAAGGG
RNAcentral lists this non-coding RNA (30 nucleotides) under Rattus norvegicus (Norway rat). Lineage: Eukaryota; Metazoa; Chordata; Mammalia; Rodentia; Muridae. The record is from RNAcentral.